AUUGAACGCUGGCGGCAUGCCUUACACAUGCAAGUCGAACGGCAGCACGGGUGCUUGCACCUGGUGGCGAGUGGCGAACGGGUGAGUAAUACAUCGGAACAUGUCCUGUAGUGGGGGAUAGCCCGGCGAAAGCCGGAUUAAUACCGCAUACGAUCUACGGAUGAAAGCGGGGGACCUUCGGGCCUCGCGCGAUAGGGUUGGCCGAUGGCUGAUUAGCUAGUUGGUGGGGUAAAGGCCUACCAAGGCGACGAUCGGUAGCUGGUCUGAGAGGACGACCAGCCACACUGGGACUGAGACACGGCCCAGACUCCUACGGGAGGCAGCAGUGGGGAAUUUUGGACAAUGGGCGAAAGCCUGAUCCAGCAAUGCCGCGUGUGUGAAGAAGGCCUUCGGGUUGUAAAGCACUUUUGUCCGGAAAGAAAUCCUUGGCCCUAAUACGGUCGGGGGAUGACGGUACCGGAAGAAUAAGCACCGGCUAACUACGUG
Molecule: ribosomal RNA, 486 nt
Filed under: uncultured bacterium
Lineage: Bacteria
Description: partial 16S ribosomal RNA
Rfam family: Bacterial small subunit ribosomal RNA
Source: RNAcentral